RNAcentral lists this ribosomal RNA (484 nucleotides) under uncultured bacterium. RNAcentral describes it as "partial 16S ribosomal RNA". It matches the Rfam family "Bacterial small subunit ribosomal RNA", at positions 28 to 507 of the family's 1533-position model. The record is from RNAcentral.
AUUGAACGCCGGCGGCAUGCUUUACACAUGCAAGUCGAACGGCAGCGCGGGCUUCGGCCUGGCGGCGAGUGGCGAACGGGUGAGUAAUGCAUCGGAACGUGCCCAGUAGUGGGGGAUAGCCCGGCGAAAGCCGGAUUAAUACCGCAUACGACCUGAGGGUGAAAGCGGGGGACCGAAAGGCCUCGCGCUAUUGGAGCGGCCGAUGUCGGAUUAGCUAGUUGGUGGGGUAAAGGCUUACCAAGGCGACGAUCCGUAGCUGGUCUGAGAGGACGACCAGCCACACUGGGCCUGAGACACGGCCCAGACUCCUACGGGAGGCAGCAGUGGGGAAUUUUGGACAAUGGGGGCAACCCUGAUCCAGCCAUGCCGCGUGCGGGAAGAAGGCCUUCGGGUUGUAAACCGCUUUUGUUCGGGAAGAAAUCCUCUGGGCUAAUACCCCGGGGGGAUGACGGUACCGGAAGAAUAAGCACCGGCUAACUACGUG